This is a non-coding RNA of Phyllostomus discolor (pale spear-nosed bat), 563 nucleotides long. The record is from the annotation of a RefSeq genome assembly. Lineage: Eukaryota; Metazoa; Chordata; Mammalia; Chiroptera; Phyllostomidae.
UGCUUCAGCUGUGGGGCCACAGAAGGCAGGACUCAGGGAUGGACUCCACCAUGGCCUGGUCCCCUCUCCUACUCACCCUCCUGGCUCACUGCACAGGGUCCUGGGCCCAGGCUGUGCUGACUCAGCCGCCCUCAGUGUCUGGGAACCCAGGACAGACCGUCACCAUCUCCUGCACUGGAAGCAGCACCAACAUCGGGGGUGGUAAUUAUGUAUACUGGAACCAACAGUUCCCAGGAAAACCCCCUAAAACCGUCAUCUAUUAUACUAGCAGCAGACCCUCUGGGAUCCCGGACCGAUUCUCUGGAUCCAGGUCUGGCAGCGUCGGCACCCUGACCAUCAGUGGGCUCCAGGCUGAGGACGAGGCCGACUAUUACUGCUCAGCAUGGGAUGACAGUAGUAACAGUGGUCCUGUGUGUCAGGGGGAGGCUAUGCUGGGAACAGAGUCCCUGAUGGGUCAGCAAGAUCCAGGGACAGGGAACCGGUCUGUGUCCAUGUCAGUUCAUAUCAGGAAGGCCCAGAGUGUGGGCUGUCACCAACAUGUGCCCUCUCAGCCUCCACCCUGA